GUAAACACCUGAUUGACAACUUGUGAGUCUUCAAGCAGAAACGAUGACAACACCUGCUCAGAGCUCCAGUUUCCUGACGUCUGUAUGAGACUCUGUCCCGCCGGUCUUCAGUCGUCUGUCUCGUUAAGACUAAUUAGAGAGGAGACGUCUCCUGGGCUGACAACACCUCAGCGGUGGAGGAUAAAGCUCAACAGCAUCUGUAUAUUCAGAUGAGACCGAGGAGAGCCAACUUCCCCCCGAAAAAGCUGCUCGUCAACGUUUACAGAUGCACCGCAGAGAGCUUCCUAACAUACUGCAUGACAGCUGCACCAAAGCUGACAACAAAAAAAAGGCCUCCAGCGUGUGUGACUGAUUUUUUUAUUCAUGGUGUUUAUUCAUUUCCACUAUGGAUUAUCCUUCAUAUAUAUAUAUAUAUAUAUAUAUAUAUAUGGACACAUACAACUCUGCUUCAUGAGUCUACUGGACAGUUAUUGGAUCAGAUCAAUCUGUUUUUAACAGAACGUGUAAAUGUAAAAACAUUGUAUCUUGGUUUACAAUGAGCUUUAUUAUUAAUUAUCAUAAGUAGCUGUUGGCUAUAAAUGUCUUAUGUGUUGUUCUGUAUUUUUUUUGCAUUGAAAUUCUGGCAGUUGAACUUUGAACUAAAAUACUGUAACAUAUCAAACUGUUUGUUUAUCACUGAGAUAGAAUUAGCUUUACAGUAUCUGUUCUUUUUAAAAUAGUUUACUGUAAACAGGUUUAUAAUAUAUCUGUUUUUUUCAUAGCAAUUUACCAUAAACAAACAACAGUUCCCAACAAACAAAGCAUCCUGUAAUGUUUUAUACAUUGUCACCGUAUUUUUACGGUGAUGUUCUGGCAAUCACAGCUGCCAAUAUUCAAUAAAAUAAAUCACACAGAACUUUAUUUACAGUGUAGAUAAGAGUUGAAAAUAAAUGAAAAACCAGCUGAAGCUGCUUUGUUGGAA
Molecule: long non-coding RNA, 961 nt
Organism: Thunnus maccoyii (southern bluefin tuna)
Lineage: Eukaryota; Metazoa; Chordata; Actinopteri; Scombriformes; Scombridae
Exons: 2
Source: RefSeq, a predicted model, not a curated record